GGGGUGGAAGGUGCCGUACUGGUACUGGGCGGGGUCCUGGCCCCGCAGGUGCGGCGGCUCCGACGGCGGGAGCGGGCCCGAGGAGGAGGAGUGGGCCAGCCUCUUCUCGCCGCCGUCGCCGGCGCCGGCCUCCGGGUCCUGGCCGGCUCCCAUGGUGGACGGACGGAGAUCGGUGGUUGGGUUGGUUGACUCUUGACUUGGGCGGUGUUCCGUGCCGACGAGGUGUUGAGGUGUGUGGAGGCUGGCGGUGACAGAGAAGGAAGGGGCCAACGGCACGGCAGUGUGAUGUAGCCAGGGGGGAGCUUUGGGUCGGUGGUGGACUGACAGGUGGUUGUGUGUGGGCCGGUAGAGUUUCUGGCCUGUUGCUGAGGGCCUGGAUGGAUCGUUGACUGGGUAUAUUCAUGAGCCCAUCUCUGCUAAUUCCCACCAGCUGGAAAACUGUCGAAAAAACUGCCGGCCCUCGAAAAACUGUCGGCCCUUACAAAGACCGGGAAAACCGUUGUUCUGAUUAAAAUAAAGAAAAAAACUAUUUGUUUUUAGGAUUAAAAAAUAGAGAAACUGUUUUUAACACGGUACAGACGCAAACACUCAUAUAAACGCGCAUACAUAAAUCUCUAUAAACGCACACAUGCACGCCCCACCUAUGUGAGUAGCAACAAAAAAGAAAAAGAAAAGAAAAAAAAUGCAGCCGCAAAGCAGUGCAUGAACUCGAAAGGAACAAAAAGAAAAAUUAUUGUAUGUCUCCUAUAAGAAGUUUGGUCCGCCUGGACAUCCUUAUUAAGAACCUGAGUUAUAAACUCCUUCGUCGAGACGUUAAGAGGAAAAUGACCAUCAGACAAGACAAUACCAAGUCCAAAAAGGUCAAUUGCAUCAACGUACAAAAGCUGAUAAGAAAGUUAUAAGGAUCAUAUGAUAUACACAAACAACAACAAAAAUGUGAAGUAAAAUGAUAAAAAAAAAAAGGAAAGCGGCAACACUAACGUUGUCAAAAAGAAGACAACCCCUGGUAGGCUUGCCAGUUGAAAGCGCCAUUUGAAAUUCAUCAACGAUGAACUUGGACCAAUUGUGAUUUUUAAGUGUACCAUUGUUUUGUUGAAAAGACAAAGGGUGGUAAAGGAGCAUAAGUUAUCAUGGUACACACACUAAAAGUUAUCAUGAGGACGCAAUGGAAGUUACCAGUCAUAAGAAGUAAGAAUGACCAUUAAUAAAAACAAAAUAAAAUGAGCAAGAAAAACUUACCAACAUAACAUACCAUCUGGGGCUGGCCUUGCUGGAGGUGGUCAGAGCGAUGACAAUAUUACCAGCAAGCAUAAGCCACACCCGCUUGAACUUGGUGUCGAAGUUGUCAUAACCCGUGAUAAGCUCGACAAGAUCUAUCAUUUUAGGCGUACAUCCAAGAUCACCAAACAGCUCAAGCCCUAACUCAAUAUCGACUUUUGUAGGAAGGUUGUAAGGAACAUCUUGCCCUCCACGUGGCAUGCUCAUCACACAGUGGACAGAUUCUUCAUUCACAUGAAGCCUACCACGCACUGGAACGACAACCUCAUGGGACUUGGGGCGUAUAACCCGGCAAGCUGUAAACUAAGACCGUUGAAUAGACGGACUCACUUGAUGUUCCGAAGGCUUCUCAGGUCCAUAUCAUUAAUGACACGCUUCCUAUCUUGAGACAUAUGCUUGCAGGCAAGCAAACGUGAGCUAGGGGAAGCCCUGUUCUGCAGAGGAGCGCGCUUUGACUUCUUCGAACGAACUUCCUCAAUGCCAACACCAUUGCCUUUGCGCUUCCUUCGCAUUGUGCCCCUAUCACAUACAAAUAAAGAAGGCCAAUGAAAAAACAUAAAUUACAUUUUAAAAACUCCUACCCCUAGUAAUAUCAAGCAAUAUGAUCCUCGUACUUGCAAGCACCAAGCACCCCUACUAAUUAGAAAACACUAUACCCUGCUAAUCCAAGCACUAAGCCCAUGAUAAGAAAUAAAAGAAUCAAGCCCCUAAUAAAAUCAAGCACUAUGCACAUGAUAAAAAAAAUCAAGCACCAUGAUGCUGGUAGGUACAAACAACAUGCCACUGAUAAUUUCUAGCAAUAUAACCCGGGUAAACCAAGCAUCAAGCACCUGGUGAAUCAAUCCAGAUAAGAUGCUGAUAGUCUCGUAGAAGUACUUAACCUUGAAGGUCAAAUAUGAUUUACCAUUUCUAGAUUAGACCCCGGGUCAAUUCGAAAUACGACUCCCACCGUUCUAACUCUUCUUGGGGGAUUCCAUCCACAAACACAAAGUUUGUGGUUGACUAAUAUGGCUCACCAUCAUUUAGCUAUUGCAUUUAUUUUUCUCAUUGCCGGUCAUAUGUAUUGAACAAACUUCAGAAUUGGGCAUCUUUCAGAAGUUUUCCCUUGAAGGGAAAGCAUUAAAGGAAUCCCCCAUUAAGCUGGAAACAAGGGAGUGUGGUUUUGCCAAUCUGUGGGCGGAUCUUUUUCUGGUUUGAGGAAAAGCCCUCAUGAGUUUGGCUUCUUUCUAUUCUUCACCACCAGGAGGGAGAGGUUAACAUGACUCGUUAUACUAUGCAAGAACCCGUGGGCGGUUUGCUAGUAGGUAGCCAAGAUCAGACACCAUGCUACUGGUAACCAUAAAAAAAUGCCCGUGAUAAUUUAUAUGUAAAUAAAAGAGGAGAUUUCCUAUGCAUGAUAAUAGCUAAACACCAUUUGGCAUAAGUGACUUUUUUUACAUAUGAAGUGUCAUGUUUCAAUGAUAUUGGCACAAGUGUAUUUUUCUUUGUAUAGAAAUGACUUUUUUUUAUAUAUAACAUAGGGCGACAACAAUAAAAUCUGAGAGGGAGCACAAGGGAGAAACUCCUCGAAGCACCGAUACUUCAAAAAUUUGUGUAUCGCCGUUCUGUACUUCGCCGAUACACCGAUACGUCAGAUACGCCUUCGAUACAGGUAUCUCCGAAGUAUCGUCUUUUUCAAUUUAAAAAUAAAAGAAAAAAAUGGCGAUACGGGUAUCCUUGAAGUAUCGCCACUGAGUAUUGUUCAUAACUUGAUGUAUCGUUCAUCUGUUUAUAUAGAUAGUGUAUGAUGGGGUUAUAGUCCCAGGAUAGGGUCAUAGGUCUGCCCUAGGUCCUACCCAAGGACUACCCUUCAUAGAAGACAAGGCCCUUAGACAGUUCCGACUGAACUAAGGAUGCCCCCAUCAUCCAGUCGGCGACAAUCCACCCGGAGCAUAUCUAACGUACCGACUGGAAUCCACUCUGUACAUCGUAACCCCCCAGGAGGGCAACGGUCAUACGUUUUCAUACACCAUUAUUAGCAUUUAAAUCUUACGUUACCUGUAACGUAAGCAUUUACUCGCCACUAUUCCACCCCUGUCCACCGGCCAUUAUGAAGGGCAGCGCACUCUAUAUAAGUCGCCCUUCACCACUGGUACGGGGGUUGGCACUUGCUGUAAUCCUAGAAUCCACUCGACACAAAGCUCCCAAGAACACUGAGACGUAGGGCUUUUACCUCCACCGUAGAGGGGCCUGAACUCAUACAUCCUCGUCGUAGCUAAGGCUCUGCCCAUAUACUUUCGUACCCCAUACUUCUACUGUCAGACUUAUACCCACGACAGCUGGCGCCCACCGUGGGGCAGGCGUCUAAACGACUUCCGGCGAGUUUGUGAUUUCAUAUUUUCGUCAUGUCGUCUGGCGGAGAUCUGUGCAUGGGUCAUGAGAUCCUCUUCGGUGCCCUCUCCUUCAUCGCCGACGAUUCGGCAUGGCUUCGGGAUGCGCCCCUCGACGUCGAGGCGCUUCACAGUCGCGGGGCUACGCACUUCCGUGCCAGUCCUUGCGGUGUUCUUCUUCUCCAGCCAUCGACCCCGGUGUCGAUCUUCGCCCCCGUCACGCGCCGCAGCAAGCGAUCCCGUCGUCCGCGGCUCCAGCGUUGGGUGCGACACGCCCAGGCGCGACAAAACGCGUCCUCUCAAGUGGCGGUGCUUGAAUCGGUUGUGGUCCCGCCGUCAUCCCAGUGCUUGGAGUCAGUUCCGACUGAACUACCUUCCGAGUAUCCGGGUCGCGGGCCUGCAGCCGAAGUUCUCAUGGCCGAUUCCCACAAAAGUCCCCUCGGGACUGGGCGGAACGAGCGUGAGUUCGAAGAAUCAUCCGGCGCUCGUCGUUAGCACCAUCGCUCUUCCAGUAGACGCACUCGCCAGAGCAACGUCGAGGUGUUCCGCACACCUAUCCUCAACUUGGCUGCGGCCGCCAGGAUAGCCGAUUCUCUCCAGCCGACUGAUUCAGAGGCUGGUAGAGGAAUCGAGCAGAUCCGCGCCUUGUUGCAUACGGCGCAGCAGCAAAAUUCGGCGGUCUCCGAGUCGCACAACAGGAUCCACAACAGUUCUGUUCAAGCGAACACACAUCGCUCGGUUUUCAGUCCCGACUCUCACCAGCGACGCAGAGGGGGCAGCCGUUCCAGGGACCCGAGUCGGAAUCCGCUUCCCAUUCAGUCUCAUCCCGAAGAUCGUCGCCGUUCGCAUACUCCUCCGCGGAGUGGGCCUUAUGGGCCCCGGCAUUACGACGAUCGUCGUUCGGGCAGUGGUGCGCAUGAUCCAAGGCCUGAUGCAAGAGGGUACUCGCCCAGAAGAAGGUCGACAGAAGUCGAGCCCACCGUGAUGGUCACGAUAGAGACCGUCCGAGUGGAAGCAGGACCGUUGUUUCUGGCCCCGAGUGCUUCAGUCGGGCCAUCCGCUCAGCUGACAUCCCUCCCAACUUCCGAUUGGCGAUGGGAAUCAGCAAAUUCACAGGAGAGUCCAAACCAGAAACUUGGUUGGACGACUACAGAGUGGCGGUCCAGAUCGGUGGCGGAGAUGACCAUGUCGCCAUGAAACAUCUCCCACUGAUGCUCGACGGUUCGGCGCGAGCUUGGCUAAACCAGUUAGCUCCGUCAAGCAUCUACAGUUGGGCAGAUUUGGCCCGAGUCUUCAUCAGGACCUUCGAGGGUACGUGCAAACGCCCUGCUGGUCUCGUAGAGCUUCAGCAUUGUGUCCAGAAGCAAAACGAGCCCUUGCGUGAUUUCAUCUGGCGCUGGACAACCCUCUACCACACGGUGGAGAACGUCAUAGAGCACCAAGCAGUCUGCGCCUUCAAGGCAGGCGUUCGGUACAGAGAUCUGGACCUGAAGUUUGGUCGGACAGGCGACAUCUCCAUGAGCAAGAUGACGGAGAUAGCCGCGUGCUAUGCAAAUGGCAAAGAGGAGGACCGCAUACGUAGCGGCAAGCAUAAGUCAGUCGCCGAUGGAGAUGGGAACAGCAGUCGGAAGCAGAAGCAGAAAGCUCAAUCCACUCCGCAUGCAGAGGCAGCAGCCGUUACAAAUGCCAAGUUCAAAGGCAAGGGGAAAGCACAGUACACCCCCAAGAAGAGGUAGUCAGGAAAUUCCAUCCUAGAUCAACCGUGUCCAAUCCACACGAAGACGGAUGAAGAAGGCAAUGUCAUAUUGCCGAAGCAUACCACUCGGCAGUGUCGCCUCCUGAUCCAAGGAUUAGGCGAAGGACAGCCGGGUGAGAAGGACACCGAGCAGGAUGAUGAGGACAAGGAGGAUCCGUUUCCCCAAGUCCAUGCAACGUUGAUGAUUUUUGCUGAUGUGGAAAGCAAAAGUCGACUGAAGCUGGUCAACAGGGAGGUAAACAUGGCAACCCCAUCCACUCCCACGUUCCUCAAGUGGUCACAGACUGCGAUCACCUUUGAUCAGUCAGACCACCCAGCACACGUACCCACCCCAGGGAGGCAGGCUCUGGUCGUCGACCCGGUGGUGGAAGGGGUUAGGCUGCGCAAAGUCCUCAUGGACGGCGGCAGCGGUUUGAAUAUCAUGUACGCCGACACUCUCAAGGGAAUGGACAUUCCGAUGUCCAAACUUAGCGAGAGCAGUAUGCAGUUCCACGGAGUCGUCCCAGGAAGAAAGGCCAAAUCACUCGGCCAGAUUGCGUUGGAUGUCGUCUUCGGCUCUGACAAGAACUUCCGCAAGGAGAAGCUGACAUUCGAGGUGGUAGACUUCCAGAGUGCAUACCAUGCGAUUCUGGGCCGUCCGGCAUAUGCGCGUUUCAUGGCCCGUCCAUGUUACGUCUAUUUGAAGCUGAAGAUGCCCGGUCCCAAAGGUGUGAUUACUGUCACAUGCAAUCGGCACCGGGCCGAGGAGUGUCUGCAACAGGGGUCGAGAAUUGCCGAUCAUCAGAUGGCUAUACUCGAGCUGGAUGAGUACAAGAAGACCGCCGACCCCGCUGACCUGAUGCGUUCAAAGAAGCCAGCUUCCGAGCCCGCAUUCCAGUCAGCGGGAGACACGAAGAAAGUCAGCAUCCACCCGACGGACGAUGUCGCCGCCCCGACAAACAUCUCCACCACCCUUGAUCCAAAAUAGGAAGCCGAGCUCAUCCAAUUCCUCCGUGAGAACUGGGACAUUUUUGCAUGGAAGCCUGCUAACAUGCCAGGUGUACCCAGGGAGUUGGCUGAGCACCGACUGCAUGUGGAUCCUGCCGCUCGGCCCGUCCGAGAACGCCUGCGUCGGUCCGCCGCGCACAAGAGGAAAGCAAUCGGAGAGGAGGUGGCUAAACUUUUGGCAGCCAACUUCAUUCGUGAGGUACACCACUCCGAGUGGCUCGCUAAUGUUGUCAUGGUGCCCAAGAAGGACAAGUCUCUCCGUAUGUGCAUCGAUUUCAAGCAUCUCAAUAAGGUCUGUCCGAAAGACCACUUCCCGCUCCCCCGCAUUGAUCAAAUCGUUGAUUCGACUGCGGGUUGCGAGCGUUUAUCCUUCCUUGAUGCCUAUUCGGGCUAUCAUCAGAUCCGUCUGUAUGGUCCAGAUGAAUUAAAAACAGCCUUCAUCACCCCAUUCGGGUGUUUCUGUUACAUCACUAUGCCAUUCGGUUUGAAGAAUACAGGAGCAACUUUUAUACGCAUGAUCCAAAAAUGCCUCCUAGACCAGAUCGGUCGAAAUGUGGAGGCAUAUAUGGAUGAUAUCGUCGUCAAGUCACGCAAAGGUUCCGACCUGCUGACUGACUUGGCAGAAACAUUCGCCAACCUACGUAGGUCCGAUAUCAAGCUCAACCCAGCCAAGUGUUCAUUCGGCGUUCCCAGCGGGAAGUUACUCGGCUUCUUCGUUUCCGAACGAGGGAUCAAUGUCAACCCCAAAAAGAUCGGGACCAUUGUCCGAAUGGAGCGACCGGUAAGAGUACAUGAUGUUCAAAGGCUCACAGGUUGCCUAGCGGCUUUGAGAAGGUUUAUCGCUCGACUCGGCGAGAAGGCGUUACCUCUGUACCGACUCAUGAAGAAGUCAGAUACCUUCGAGUGGACAGACGAAGCCCAAAUCGCAUUCGACGACCUCAAAGCCCUGCUUUCCACCCAGCCGGUUCUUACUACCCCGCUCAGUAAAGAACCCCUUCUUCUGUACAUCGCGGCUACUAAUCAGGUCGUCAUCACCGUUCUGAUAGUCGAACGCGAAGAAGAAGGCAAAGCGUACAAGGUUCAACGGCCAGUAUAUUAUGUUUUCGAAGUCCUGACUCCUUCCAAGCAGAGGUAUCCCCAUUAUCAGAAGCUUAUUUAUGGGAUCUACAUGACUGCAAAGAAGGUGGCUCAUUAUUUCCAAGACCACUCGGUAUCUGUCAUAUCUGAUGCUCCGUUGUCGGAAAUUCUCCACAAUCAGGACGCAUCAGGCCGAGUGGCAAAGUGGGCAAUGGAGAUGCUAUACUGCGACAUCAAGUUCGAAGCCAAGAAAGCUAUAAAGUCUCAAGCUCUUGCUGACUUCAUAGCAGAAUGGGUAUAACAACAGCAACCGACCCACAUCUACUCGGCUCAUUGGACCAUGUUCUUCGAUGGGUCCAAGAUGUUGAAUGGCUCCGACACCGGUGUAGUGCUCAUAUCCCCAAAAGGUGAUAAACUCAAGUAUGUGUUGCAGAUCCAUUUUGAUUCUUCCAACAACGAAGCAGAGUACGAAGCUCUCCUUUACGGGUUGCGCAUGGCCAUCACACUCGGCGUCUGUCGCCUGAUGGUCUAUGGCGACUCAGAUCUAGUGGUUAAUCAAGUAAUGAAGGAGUGGGAUGUAAGGAACCCCACCAUGACUGCAUACUGCAACGCAAUAAGGAAGCUCGAGAAGAAGUUCGAAGGCCUGGAACUUCAUCAUGUUCCCCGACUGAAAAACCAAGCAGUAGAUGAAUUGGCCAAACUUGGAUCCACUCGGAGACCGGUCCCGAGUGAUGUCUGCCUCGAGCACCUACACCUCCCCUCGGUAAAAGAAGAUCCUUUUACACAAGAACCAGUACAACCGAAGAGCUCAACAGAUCAGACUGAAGUCGAGGUCCCCGCUGUGGUUGAUUUGAUCAUGGAGAUUCUAUCUGUCAUUCCCGAAUGGACUGUGCCGUUCAUUGCGUACAUCAUGAGACAAGAGUUACCAGAAGACGAAGUCCAAGCUAGGCAGAUUGUUCGCAGGUCGAAGUCCUUUACCGUCAUUGAUGACCAGCUAUACAGGGAAAGUGUAUCAGGCGUCCUUCAGCGGUGUAUCUCUCCUGAGGAGGGGCAGUUAAUCUUGGAAGAAAUUCACUCGGGAACCUGCGGUCAUCAUGCCUCCUCAAGAGCAAUCGUCGCCAAAGAAUUCAGAGCUGGUUUCUUCUGGUUGCAGGCGAAUGAAAUGGCAAAAGAUAUGGUCGACCGUUGCGAAGGUUGUCAGUUCUAUUCAAACAAGUCCCACAAGCCAACGUCUACGCUGAAGACAAUCCCUCUUGCUUGGCCAUUCGCCGUGUGGGGAUUAGAUACAGUCGGACCAUUCAGGAUAGGCCAAGGAGGAUUCACUCAUCUGCUGGUAGCAGUCGACAAGUUUACCAAGUGGAUUGAAGCCAAGCCUAUCAAGAAGCUUGAUGCCCUUACGGCCAUCAAAUUUAUCAGAGACAUCAUCGCCAGAUACGGGGUUCCGCACAACAUAAUCACCGACAAUGGCACAAACUUUGACUCGGACAGGUUCAAAGGUUUUUGCACAGGCCAAGGUAUCCGAGUGAAUUUUGCAUCCGUCGCGCACCCCCAAACAAAUGGGCAAGCAGAGCGAGCGAAUGGACUUAUUCUUCAAGGGUUAAAGCCUCGACUCCUGCGAGAAGUUGGACAUGCCGCCGGCGCAUGGGUCACCGAGCUGCCUUAGGUGCUGUGGGGCCUCCGCACCACUCCGAAUAGAUCGACAGGGCGAUCCCCAUUUUUCCUUGUUUAUGGAGCAGAGGCGGUCCUUCCGAGUGACUUGCUUCACAACUCUCCACGAGUCGAACUCUUCUCCGAAGCCGAGGCAGAGCAAGCCAGGCAAGACAGAGUGGACCUUUUAGAAGAGGAGCGCGAGAUGGCACUGAUCCGUUCAACAAUUUAUCAACAAGAUCUGCGGCGAUUUCAUGCGCGGCACGUCAGGAGCCGCACAUUCCAAGCAGGCGACCUGGUGCUCCGAGUGGAUCAACAGAGACCACACAAGUUGGCUCCCGCCUGGGAAGGACCGUUCAUCAUUUCUAAGGUGCUGAACAACGGAGCAUAUCGACUCUACAACCUUGACAGGGAAACGGACGAGACGCGAUCAUGGAAUGGAGAUCUACUGAAUCGUUUCUACACAUAACCGCCGGCGAAGGCAAUGUAAAGAACAAGUAUCAUCGAAGUAAUACAAAGCAGAUUGAUUUCUUGCCGGUUCAAAAUUCUUCCGCGUUUGCAGACUCCAGUCUAAAAAAUCAACUCCGAGUGUGCACUAAAAGUCACACUCGGGGACUUAGCUGCGACCCAGAGUCGCCUAAGUAAACAAACUCGCUCCGAGUGUGCAGUAAAAGUCACACUCGGGAACUUAGCUGCGACCCAGAGUCGCCUAAGUAAACAACUCGCUCCGAGUGUGCACUAACAGUCACACUCGGGGACUUAGCCGCGACCCAGAGUCGCCUAAGUAAAAACUCGCUCCGAGUGUGCACCAAAAGUCAGACUCGGAGCCUUAGCUGCGACUCAGAGUCGCCUAAGUAAACAAAUUGCUCCGAGUGUGCAUUUCAAGUCGCACUCGGAGACUUAGAUGCGAACCAGAGUCGCCUAAGUAAAAAAGCUUCCUCCGAGUGGGCACUCGAAAUACACUCGAAGGCUUAGCAGUCCCUCAUUGAGGCUCAUGUGGAUGUGAAGAAAACUGACAACUACAUGCUCUGCAUGUUUUCCAUUGGCUUCACCAAGAGAUGCCCAAACAAAAACCACGAGCAAAAAUCGUGUCAAAAAAAACUCAGCGAAAGAAGAGCAAAAGAUCCGAUUCGAAUUCAGGUUGGAUCUACGAUCAGUCGGCUCGGUGUGAAUCAAGUUUAUCCACACCGAACCACGAAUGUACCGGCCAACAGCAGUGGCCAAAGUUUAAUACAGAUUCCACUCGACAUACCGAGGUAAAUGUGCGUUCAGCAUAAAGUUUAUCAAGCGUCGCCGGGACUGGCAGGCUCCACAAAGGUGUCGAGGUCGAUUCCGUCUGCAAUCCGAGUGGCUGUGUCGAGGAAGGUCUCCAUGAAGUCUUCAAAUCGAAGCUUCUUGGUGGUGGCGACCUACAACGUCUUCAACUUGUCUUCGCGAGCUUCCUUGCAGUGCACUCCGACCAGAGAUAGCGCCACGACCGCACCACACCGAGCGGCAGACUUCUUCCAUGCCCGCACUCUGCUUGGAACGUCCUCCAGUCGAGUCAUCAACCCCUCUAUCUCGUUCCGGGAGUCAUCUUCAGACCACAGCUCCGUGUCGAUUUGGCCGACAACUCUUCUCAGGUGACCAAUGAAAGGGCCCACCCUAUUAAGGCGAGAAUGCGCUCGGAGCAUGUCCCGGUUAGCUUCAUCGCCGAGUGGAACAUUCGGAACAAGCGACCGUUCAAUUUCAGUUGUUUCAGCCUCAACGUCCCGACAGAAAUCUGCAAAGAAAAGACAAGCAGAAAAUAAGCGCGGAGUGAACUCCAAAGUCAAAAGGCACUUGACAAGAACUUACCACCAAGCAGAGCGACCAUCUUCUUCGCCGAGUCGCUGACGUAGUUCUCCCGCGCUCUGCACCGAGUGUUCAUCACCUUCAGCUGGCCCAUCCAUUCGGAUCUCUCCCUCUUCAUUUUUUCUACCUCGGCUAGCAGUGCCUUGUUAGCCUCCCGAGACUCCUCCAAAGAUUUCUCUCUGUCAGCAAGAGCCUUCUUCACGCCAGCCAGGUCAUUCACAGCCACCUCCAAGUCCGCAGCAAGUUGAGUCUUCUCAGCCUUCAGAGCAUUGUACGCCGAUCCCAUCUCACAAGUCUUCUGUCAAAGAGACACAAAGGGAGGAUUAGCCACAUUCAACAAGGAAAAAGUCUCGACAGAUAUGACAAAACAAUCAAAGCUCAAAAUUCUUCAGACCCCUGCCGAUGCAAGCAAUCGACAUCGGUCUCGGGGACUACACCCAGUGGGUUCACUGAGAGUGACCCCACUGGCAUGAAGCUCAAACAGGUCGGCCCUAUUGAGCUCUAUAGCAAACCAACAACACUAUGAGAUUACUGUUACUCGACCCGAGUAACACUACUCUCGGGGACUACACCCAGUGGGUGCACUCGGCGUGCCCCCACUGGUACCAUUCGGGCAAAUCAGCUCUGAUCUGUACAGAUUAUGGAAAAUACAUAUAAAGACAACUUCCAGCGCAAGCACUCGGCAGAAGUCUCGGGGACUACACCCACUUGGUUCACUCGGAGUGAACCCACUGCAAAAUCAUCCUACUGUAUCCGAGUAUAUCGCUGAAACCCCGAGUGGGUACCAAGAGGAAUGUAAACACUUACUAGCGCACUUACUCGGAUAUCACCCCGAAGCUCCAAGCUCUUCUUGUACAGGGACGCGAUGGAGUCGUACGCUCCCUUGGCGUCGCCCACCAUCAGCUCCACCUGCACCAUGGCAUCCUUGGCAGCUCCCACCUGGUCUUCCGGGAGGCGUCGGGCGUCAUAUUGAACAGCCGACGGACCCGGCGUGGCAGAAGACUCCCUGGGCAUCCCGAGCUCUGCUCUAGUCGGUUCCGCCGUGAGGGCCACCAUCUCAGUCGGCGGCACGUUCAUGGCGGGAUUGGCAGCAGAUGGGAUAACCCCAGGGACAGACGCCAAAGCUGGUUCCGACCUCCUUUGGUCGUCGUCGUCCAGAUGGAUCACCUCCGAAGGAGGCCCGACUGAACAAAAUAAAAUUAGACAAAAAGGUCAAGAUCAAAGACAGCACUUGCGAAACAGUAAUACAGCUCUCGGAGUCGUGACAACAUACCUUGCUGGGACGUGGCGGCGUUAUCAGUGUCCAUGGGAUCAUCGUCCUGGCGCGGCAGAGAGGUGGCGGAGGUAGCAGCUCUGUUGAGUGAAAUCCACUCGACGGAUAAACAUGAGUUCCCAAAAAGAGGAGUUCAAUCGGAUACUGAAGGAAGAUGAAAGAGUAAAGAUACUUACGCUGAGGCGACCGGAACAGCGAUCCUCAUCCGGGGCAAGGCUUUCCGAGGUUUAGGCCCACUAGGUUUAGCCACCUUGGAUGGCUGGUUCACAGGCUCGGCAGAAGCACCCCUGGUUCUCUUCACACUCCGAGCACUCGAAGCCACGGGAGGAGCUGGCGGAGCACUCGGAGCCGCGGGAGGAGACGACAGAGCAGCGGGGUCAUGACGACGCUUGGUUCGGUGCUCUGGUGGUGAGGGCGACGAGCUCUGCUCUCCACUCUCUUCCAACUCCUCUUCCGUCUCCUCCUCCGUCUCCCCACUGUCAGAGACAUACUCGGCGCUAUCCGCGUUGCCCUCCAUGCUGCCCUCCUCUUCCUCGACUGGAUUCCCGUUCGAGACUGCAGAAUGCCAGUUCGUCCACUCCUGCACAAAACACAGUCGGCAACGUCAGUCAGCGAUACAAGAAAAGCAAUAAAGCUCAGAAGGUUAAAAGCACUCGACAACAUGUACUCACCUCAUUCGGAGGAGGAUUUUCGGCACGGAAGGGCUUCACCCACCGGGCUCCCAUGGGGUUAUCACACGUGCCUGUGAUGCUGCGGACCCACGCACUCACAGUCUCCCCGCUCACGUCCUCUGGAUGAGACCGAGUGGUAUCCGAGGGCCCCGUGUAAUGCCACAUAGCGUAGUCUCGGGCCUGCAGUGGCUGGAUGCGCCGACCCAGAAAAGUCUCCAGCAGGUCCAUGCCGGUGACUCCCCUCCGGACGACGGCUAUCAGCGCGUCAACCAAAGGUUGGAUCUGGGUUCUUUCUCCCUUAGAGAGCGCAAGCUUCCUGGGAGGGCCCGUACGGUCUAAACUGAAAGGUGGCAACUCACUCGAAGCAUUCGGACAAGCAAUGUCCUGGCAAUAGAACCAGGACGAUUGCCAGUUCCUAACUGGCUCGGAUAGCUGGAGGGAGGGAUAGCUACUCUUUGUUUUCUUCUGGAAGCCUAAACCCCCGCAGAGCUGGAGGAUGUGUGUCUUAUCGUCCGACUGGCUAAGCUUUUUAACAGUUUCGGAUCUAGCGGAGAAGACAUAUUUAAAGAGCCCCCAGUGGGGAGGACAUCCUAUGAAGCACUCAAAAGGGUGACGAACGCGGCAAGAUGAGCUAUUGCAUUCGGAGGAAAGUGAUGGAGCUGCGCCCCGAAGUAAUUCAUGAUACCUCGGAAGAAAGGAUGGGGAGGCAAGGAGAAACCUCGGGCCACGUGGCUGGGCAGCAGAAUGCGCUCCCCCUCCUUCGGUGCCGGCUCCGUCUCGCCCUCCGACAGCCUCCAUGACUUGUUGGCGACCAUGCCGUGCUCCACCAGCUCCAGCACGUCAUUCUCCGUCAUCGAGGAGGGGAGGAAGUCCCCCUGGAUCCAGCCCGCAGGCAACGCCCGCUGCCGCCGCUGAGUGGAGGCCGCCCCCUUCUUCUUCUUCUUCUGCGCCUCGAGCUUGCUGGUCUGCCCCUUCGUCAUGGCGAGGACUACGGAUCCGCAGAGGAGGAGAGGCAGGAGGUGGCUUGGGGUGUGCAGAGAGCUGCGGGAGAAGCGGGAUUAAUGGGAGGAGGAUGAGCAACGCAACAGGAAAUCCCGCCGGGGAGGCUUUAAUAGGCUUCCGACUGGGUCACUUACAGGUGGGCCAAGGAUCUUAUCCCCCCAACCGGCCGCUGCAAGGUUAGUGGAGAAGAUAACGGCACGGUAAUCGAGGAGGCAAAACCUACUCGAUGGCGAUGUCGUCAUCCCCGCUGAGCGCGCGACAACCGAAAUUUGAGGAUCCCGAAAAAUCCGGCGCUGUCAGUUUGACCAGUCACGUCGAAAGAUUCCGCGGAAGCACUCGGUCCCUGACGGUUCGUUUCACUGGCAUAUUCACUCGGAUCACUAGCUGAAAAGAUAAAAUGGAUCGAGGCAAACAACGCUAAAGUCACCUCAAUACCAGUCGGUUCCAUACUCCGGACAUCACUUCAUCGUUCCAACCCCGAUCAAUUCGGGGACUAAUGAUGGGGUUAUAUUCCCAAGGUAGGGUCAUAGGUCUACCCUAUAGGUCCUACCCAAGGACUAUCCUUCAUAGAAGACAAGGCCCUUAGACAGUUCCGACUGAACUAAGGACGCCCCCAUCAUCCAGUCGGCGACAAUUCACUCGGAGCAUAUCUAACGUACCGAUUGGAAUCCACUCUGUACAUCGUAACCUCCCAGGAGGGCAACGGUCAUACGUUUUCAUACACCAUUAUUAGCAUUUAAAGCUUACGUUACCUGUAACGUAAGCAUUUACUCGCCACUAUUCCACCCCUGUCCACCGGGCCAUUAUGAAGGGCAGCGCACUCUAUAUAAGCCACCCUUCACCACUGGUACGGGGGUUGGCACUUGCUGUAAUCCUAUAAUCCACUCGACACAAAGCUCCCAAGAGCACUGAGACGUAGGGCUUUUACCUCCACUGUAGAGGGGCCUGAACUCAUACAUCCUCGCCGUAGCUAAGACUCUGCCCAUAUACUUUCGUACCCCAUACUUCUACUGUCAGACUUAUACCCACGACAUUGUACGUGUACUGUGUACUAAUAUAGCAGUUGGAUAAAAGUGUUUCCUAAAGAUGUUGCUUGUUGGAUAAAAUUACUUGUUGAUACUAUUGGCUUGUUGCUUGUUGAUUUUUGUGACUUGUUGUUGUUGCUGUCUCCUAUUGCUAGGGAAGAAGAUACAAGUAACAUCUUUUAACUUUCUCCAUCAUCAUUUGAGCAUUAUUGAUGUGUAUUGCUUGCUGAUUUUAAUUAUCGUCAUGUUCUUAGGUGAGAGUUUCUAUAUAUUUAUUGUUAUGAGAAUAAAGAGCUUAAUGAAGAUUGUGCUCUCUAUAUCGUUAUUAAGAAAAAAACUUUUAAAACGUUGGAAGAAGAGUAGUACCCCUCCAUUAUUUGGUCAACUCGUGCAAUCUAAGGUUGCUCUUUAUAUAUGUUUGUCAUUUGACAAUCUCAAGUUUUUAACUCUAAAAGAUUUGUUGAUUUUAUGUUGUCAUGUCAAUAUGUAUUAUAGUCUAAAUUAGAUUGUGGCAGUCUAUAACCGAUUAGCUGUGUUACCCCACUGAUGAUAGUGCGACUUUUAGAAUGAGAAACACGAAGGUAUGGAGUCAAUUAGGCAACCAGUGAUGCGGUAUUUUGAUCUCAUCACUAGUGGCGGGACUAAAGGCCUAACCUUUAGUCCCGGCACUGUUCCAAGCCGGGACCAAAGGUGCUCCACGUGGGCGCCUCGGAGUGCCCUCAGGGGCAGGCCCUUUAGUCCCGGGUCUUAACACGGACCGGGACUAAAGGAUCCGUCUGUUUAUUUUGUUUGUUUGACCCAAAAAGGUACCUUAUUUUAUUUUUGAAUAUUCUUUGAUUUGUUUUUAUGUUUUAUUUCAAUUUUUAAAUCUUUGAUUUAUUUGACAAUUUAAUCUCUAAUCACCCAUCCUCACUGCUCUAGCGUAGAUUACUCAUUUCAAAUCGUCUAACUUCUCGGCCGGUCACCCAUCCUUUCACUGCUUCAGCCCGAGCAUGCUUAACUUCCUGGUUCUAUCACCCCUAGUUGCCAAGUCUGCACUUGUUGUUCUCCUGACAAUAGUAAGCUAUCAAUCCUAAACAACCUAGGGUUUGAUGUCAUGUCACAUGAUUUAAUUUUUUGAAUUUAAACAAUUAUUAAUAUAAACAAAAUAAGUAAUAAUAAUAGUGAAUUUCAAUGAAAACAACCUAAAGAUUUUAAAUAAAAUUAUUUUUUCUUAUUUUUGUGGAAAAAACUUCUUUUUGCCAUAACUUUUUUUACAUUUGGAAUUUUGAGCAUCUGAGAAAACUUCACCGGGCAAGCCCCGGUGAAAUUGAUUCCCAAUUUUCUCUAGUUUUUUUUGAUAUAUUAAACUUUUUUUUACGUCGUAUGCAAAAGUUAUGGCCGUUUUACAUUUUCCCCUUUUUUGAAAAAACGAUCAAAAUUCAUAUCUCAAAAUUUGUAUACCAACUAGGCACUAAAACCUAACUACAUCUCAAAGGAUUUUAUUUUUUGAAGAUUUUAGCAUUUUUGUUUAUUUUCUACAAAACUAAAAAAGACGGUCGAGUGAGGGUAGAGUUUGAAAAUUUCAGAAUCCCCCUUUAGCCAAGAGUCCAAUCAUACCCGUCGACUACAUUUGCUAGCACCGUCCCCGCCAGAAUCACAACUAAGGUUAACCAAGCCAGAAUUAACCCUUUCUAACUUUAUUUGCUAUGUUGAGCUAAAUGACCCUGAAAUUGAAAAGAAUUAUAAUGAACUCUGAAAAUGUUGAAACUUGGCAUGGUAUCAUCAUUUCAUCCACAUAGCUUGUGCUAAAAAGUUGAGAGGGUUACGUCAAAAACUGGAUGCACUUCGUAUACAAAAUGAACAAUCUCUUUCGAAGUAUCAGGGUUUCGAACGAAAACUCAUCUAUUGCAAAGGGAUUUCAUUUUUUUGAACUUAUUUAAACUCCAUAGUUUUUCUGUGUUUAAAAUACACCAUUUAAAUCCACAUCAUAAAUUUUCAAUAUUUUCUGACUUCAUUUGUUAUUUUUCAUGCAUUUACUUACUUUUUUGAGCUAAUUGACCCUGAAAUUGAAAAGCACUACAAAUGAACUCUGAAAAGAUUGAAAGUUGGCAUGGUAUCAUAGUUUCACCCACAUGUCAUGUGCUAAAAAGUUGAAAGAGUUACAAUAAAAACUGGAUGCACUUCGUGUACAAACUGGAUCAUCCUUCGAAGUAUCAAGGUUUCAGACGAAAACCCAUCUGCUACAAAGGCAUGAUUUUAAUUCCAGACUUUUUAUGCAUUCAAUAUGCACCAUACUAUAACAUGUUAAAAUCUACAGAAAAUACUAACUAAAAAUAAUAAAAAACAACAAUUAAAUGACUAAAACAACUAUAUAAGCAAAAUAAUAUUGUUUUAAUUAAAAUCUAAAUUUAAAUUAUUCUAAAAAUAACCAAAUAAAUCUUACUGUGAUAACAAUCUAACAGAUAACUAGGAGAAAAAAGAAUUAAAUUAAAAACUAUUUGUAAACUCAAGUUAUUCACAAUUUGGGUUUGAAGCAAAUUUGAACAAAUUCAAAUUUAAACCAUUCAAAUUUAAAAACUAAUUGCACAAACAGAAACUAGACAAAAUUUUGAAUCUAAUGCAAAAAGAAUCACUAAAAAAAUAUUAAAUAUCCUAAAAGAUAUAAGCAAUUUAAAACAGAAAUAAAUUUUAAAAACAGAAAAAAAUAAAAAUACAAAACCCCUUUAGUCCCGGUUCGUGUCUCGAACCGGGACUAAAGGUCUACCCUUUAAUCCCGGUUCAAGACACGAACCAGGACUAAAGGUCUAUCCUUUAAUCCCGGUUCAAGACACGAACCAGGACUAAAGCCUUCAAACCCUUUAGUCCCGGUUCGAGACCGGGACUAAAGGUCNCGAACCGGGACUAAUGCUAACAUUAGUCCCGGUUCGUAAUGGAACCGGGACUAAUGUGUAAAUUGAGCUGGGACGGAAGCCCCUUUUUCUACUAGUGCAUCUCAUACAUUUUAUUAUGUUAACUUUUCUUGUUAUUAUUUUAUCUUUAUUUACAUAUGUUCGACGUAUCGUCGUAUUGCUGUUUUUAAAAAUUGUCGUAUCCCGUAUCGCCGUACCCGCAGUGUCGCCGUAUCGGUGCUUCGUACAAACAGAAACUACGCACAAACAGAGGGAAUGGGGAAUGGGGACCUUGCCGAUAAAACGUCCGCCGUCCGCCGGGAACCAGACCUCGCUGCCGCCCGGAACAGCCGCGGAUGUAGGAGAUGAUGUGAGGAUGUGCAGGGGGAGGCAUUGCAAAAGGCGACUGUCUACCCGCUUAAGCGAGAAAUUGACGACUGAAUGCAGGCGAACGAGGCGAGGAGGUCGUGCGUAUUGGUCAAACGGGGCGGCUGUACCUGGAACCUACCUGUCAAUGAGAGAACCGCGACCAACGGCUACACACACGCGGGAGCUACGCUAGGUUCGCUCGCGUUAAAAACCACAUCGUGUCUUUAGACUGUCAGAUUCAAAAUGAACAUCAUCUGGCAUUCGGAUCUGUUGCAGAAAGCCGAACGUUCAGAUUUUAGCUUUCUCGUAUCAUAAAAACGUAGCAUGAAUCUUACUUUUUUUAAACACAACGUAGCAUGAAUCUCAAACAAAACCUGGUUUAUGUACCUGUGUAUUGUGAUAUUGUCAUAUCUCGCAUAGAACUGUAAUAAUUAUAACAUGCCGGAGAGUUUGUUCGAUGAAAGGUUUAUAUUUCGGAGAUUUCUGGCGUUGCCUAUCGAUGACGGUAUAGCGCCGGAGAGCUCGUUCGACGAAAAGUCUAUAUACUCGAGAUUCCUUGCGUUGCCUAUGGACGCCGGUAUAUUACCUGAGAGUUUGUUCGACCAAAGGUCUAAAAUCUUGAGAUUUCUGGCGUUGCCUAUCGACGAUGGUAUGGAGCCCAUGAACCGGUUCCUGCCGAGCGAGAGACUGACCAGCGACCUGGCGCUGCCGAUGCCGUCACCGAUGCCGCCGGUGAGAUGGUUGUCUGCAAGGUCAAUGAUUACAGCGUUGGGAAGCGCCCAUAAGCCCCGGGGUACCUCGCCGGAGAGCGAGUUUCUCCUCACAUGGAACCUGUCCAGGGUCGUGCACCUCUCAUAGGUCGCCGGGAUUUCGCCGGAGAAUUUAUUCUCAAAGAGCAGUAUCCACAGCAGCCUCCCGCUCUUGCACAUGUCCGGCGGGAUCGGACCCGUCAGCGAGUUCAUGCUCACAUCGAUGAAGGUCAGCUCCGACAAAGUGCCGAGGCUCUGCGGCAGCUGGCCUGUGAGGCUGUUGUUGUAGAGUGACAGGUAGACCAGCUCCUUGAAGUCUCCGAAUUCGAGGGGCACCUCGCCGGAGAAACCAUUCCAGUAGAUAUGAAGCGACACGAGCCGCGUGAGGAAUCGGAGCUCGGAGAGGCCGCCGGACAUCAUGUUCUCGGACGCGUCGAAGUACUGUAGCUUCGUCAGCUUCCCGAACCCCCGCGGGAGAGCUCCGGUAAGGGAGCUGUUGUACAGAUGGAGUGUUCGGAGGUUAACGAGAUUGACGAUCUCCGAGGGUAUCUUGCCCGUGAGGUUGUUGUCGGCGAGCUCGAGGUCCACGAGCUUGACUAGGCUCCCGAUACCCCGCGGGAUGGCGCCGGCGAUGUUGGCGGCAGAGAGGUAGAGCACGGUUAGGUUGGUGAGCUCGGUGACCUCGUUGGGGAAAGAACUGGUCGGCUCCAGGAACGGGUUGUCUCCCACGGCGAGCACGGCGAGGCCUGGCAUGGCGGGCAGCGCGGCCCAGGGGAACGCACCGGAGAAGAUGUUAUUUGAGACGUCGAGCCUGCGGAGACCGGUCAGCGGCGAGAGGUCCGGCACGGCGCCGGAGAAGGCGUUGGACGCGAGCGUGAGCUCCUCAAGCCCCGUGCACGCGACGACCCGGUCGAUGCCCCCGGCGAGCGCGUUCGACGGCAGGGACAGCGUGGUGAGGUUCGUCAGCGAGCCGCAGAUGAUGCCGAACGGGACGGACGCGGCAGCGACUCCGCGCUCCCGUACGGACAGGCCGAUAACGACGGAGCGGCGGGAGUCGCAGGUGACGCCGGUGAAGUUGCAGGGCGAGGCAGCGGUGGCGUCCCAGGUGGCGAAGAAGGCGGCCGCCGCGGGCGGGAUGGUGAGGGAUCGCUUGAAGGCCAGGAGGGCGCCAGUUUGGGAGGAUG
Molecule: long non-coding RNA, 20090 nt
Filed under: Hordeum vulgare
Lineage: Eukaryota; Viridiplantae; Streptophyta; Magnoliopsida; Poales; Poaceae
Description: long non-coding RNA (HVUL_LNC002357)
Source: RNAcentral